RNAcentral lists this ribosomal RNA (253 nucleotides) under uncultured bacterium. RNAcentral's name for it is "partial 16S ribosomal RNA". It matches the Rfam family "Bacterial small subunit ribosomal RNA", at positions 524 to 776 of the family's 1533-position model. The record is from RNAcentral.
UACGUAGGGGGCAAGCGUUAUCCGGAUUUAUUGGGCGUAAAGAGCGUGUAGGCGGCCAAGCAGGUCCGCUGUGAAAACUCGAGGCUCAACCUCGAGACGUCGGUGGAAACCGUUUGGCUAGAGUCCGGAAGAGGAGAGUGGAAUUCCCGGUGUAGCGGUGAAAUGCGCAGAUAUCGGGAAGAACACCCGUGGCGAAGGCGGCUCUCUGGGACGGUACUGACGCUGAGACGCGAAAGCGUGGGGAGCGAACAGG